This 403-nucleotide ribosomal RNA is filed under the name bacterium. RNAcentral's name for it is "partial 16S ribosomal RNA". It matches the Rfam family "Bacterial small subunit ribosomal RNA", at positions 355 to 776 of the family's 1533-position model. The record is from RNAcentral.
UGGGGAAUAUUGCACAAUGGAGGGAACUCUGAUGCAGCGACGCCGCGUGAACGAAGAAGGCUUUCGAGUCGUAAAGUUCUUUUAUAUGGGAAGAUAAUGACGGUACCAUAAGAAAAAGCCCCGGCUAACUACGUGCCAGCAGCCGCGGUAAUACGUAGGGGGCUAGCGUUGUCCGGAAUCACUGGGCGUAAAGGGUUCGCAGGCGGAAAUGCAAGUCAGGUGUAAAAGGCAGUAGCUUAACUACUGUAAGCAUUUGAAACUGCAUAUCUUGAGAAGAGUAGAGGUAAGUGGAAUUUUUAGUGUAGCGGUGAAAUGCGUAGAUAUUAAAAAGAAUACCGGUGGCGAACGCGACUUACUGGGCUCAUUCUGACGCUGAGGAACGAAAGCGUGGGUAGCAAACAGG